AUGCGGUAUGACGGUACCCUUUCGAAUAAGAGGUUGCUAACUCUGUGCCAGCAGCAGCGGUAAUACAGAGACCUCGAGCGUUAUCCGGAUUUACUGGGCGUAAAGCGUCUGUAGGGGGUUUGUUAAGUUCCAAGUAAAAUCUUAAGGCUCAACUUUAAGUUCGCUUGGAAAACUAAUAAACUGGAGUCCAGCAGAGGUGCAUGGAACUUGCGGUGUAGGAGUGAAAUCCGUUGAUAUCGCAAGGAACACCAAAGGCGAAGGCAUUGCACUGGGCUGGUACUGACCCUGAGAGACGAAAGCGUGGGGAGCAAAACGGAUUAGAUACCCGUGUAGUCCACGCCGUAAACGAUGGAUACUAGAUGUUCGGGGAUUCGACCCCCUGGGUGUCACAGCUAACGCGUUAAGUAUCCCGCCUGGGAAGUACGGCCGCAAGGCUAAAACUCAAAGGAAUAGACGGGGAUCCGCACAAGCGGUGGAGCGUCUGGUUUAAUUUGAUAGUAAGCAAUGGACCUCACCAAGGUUUGACAUCCUAUGACAACCCUGGAAACAGGGCUUCCUUCGGGCAUAGUGACAGGUGCUGCAUGGUCGUCGUCAGUUCGUGCCGUGAGGUGUUCCGUUAAGUCGGGAAACGAACGAAACCCUCGUCGCAUGUUACAAAUUUCAUGCGAGACUGCCCGGGUCAACCGGGAGGAAGGCGGGGAUGACGUCAGAUCAGCAUGGCCCUUAUACCUUGGGCUACACAGGCGCUACAAUGGCCGGUACAAAGGGUUGCAAAACCGCGAGGUGAAGCUAAUCCCAUAAAGCCGGUCCAAGUUCGGAUUGGAGGCUGCAACUCGCCUCCAUGAAGUUGGAAUCGCUAGUAAUCGUGGAUCAGCCAUACCACGGUGAUACGUUCCCGGAUCUUGUACUCACCGCCCGUCACACCAAGAGAGUUGG
This 936-nucleotide ribosomal RNA is filed under the name uncultured organism. RNAcentral describes it as "bacterial SSU rRNA". It matches the Rfam family "Bacterial small subunit ribosomal RNA", at positions 462 to 1414 of the family's 1533-position model. The record is from RNAcentral.